CUAUCGCUCUUGGUCUCCUUUGCAAAUUGCAAUCGCAUGUCAGUUUCCAGCGAGCGCUGCUGGGUUCGGGCUCCGGCUGCUGGAGUCUAGCGAGAGGAGGGUUUUAGGGGCUCCCCCCCCUUUUCUUAAAAUCCGAUGCAUGCAUUUGAUCCCGAUGACUGUCGGCUGCGUGGGGGGCUCUGUCUUUCCAGAGCCCCCCAAUACACUAAAGCCUGGGCGGGUUGAGGAGGAGGAGGAAGAGAGGAAGCUAAAGGGGGGAGCCCAUUUUCUUCCUUGCAGACGGAUCGCUGGCUGGAUUGCAAUUUGCAAAGGGAGCAUGAUUAACAACACCUUGUGCAACAUCUGUGCUCUGCUAGCUCUGGAGAUGUACAGAUGUCAGGGGAAGCACCGACAGUACAUACAGAGCAAAGACGAGACAGAGGGGGCUGCAAAAGUAGAGGAGUCCCCGAUAGAAGUGUAGCUUGUGUUAACGGCAGUGGUAGGAAUUGGUGAAGGCUAGUGUGCUUCUGGGACUGGGGCUUUUGCCCGCCUGCACCAGGAGGGAUCGUCCACCUCCGCCAGCCUGGAGCAUCAUCUACACGUCUCCCCAGGCAGCUGCGGCCACCUGGCUUCUGAGGCCAGCCUGUGAGUACUGAAACGCGAGUGCACAUAACAUCUUCCCUUUGCGAGGCUGUGACAGGUCCCUCUGCUGCAGCUGCCUUCUGAACCCCUUACCGGGGCUCCAUCCCCUCCCCUGGGGCCGUGCAGAUCCCCUU
RNAcentral lists this long non-coding RNA (755 nucleotides) under Gopherus agassizii (Agassiz's desert tortoise). RNAcentral describes it as "lncRNA (ENSGAGG00000011887.1)". Lineage: Eukaryota; Metazoa; Chordata; Testudines; Testudinidae. The record is from RNAcentral.